GGUCUUGUAGUGAAAUUCAUACCGGAUUGCAAAUCCGGAGAUGCGGGCUGAUUGCCUGCCGGGGCUU
RNAcentral lists this transfer RNA (67 nucleotides) under Distichodus sexfasciatus (sixbar distichodus). Its description in RNAcentral is "tRNA-Cys". It matches the Rfam family "tRNA". Rfam says of the family: Transfer RNA (tRNA) molecules are approximately 80 nucleotides in length. Their secondary structure includes four short double-helical elements and three loops (D, anti-codon, and T loops). The record is from RNAcentral. Lineage: Eukaryota; Metazoa; Chordata; Actinopteri; Characiformes; Distichodontidae.